GUAGGGGGCUAGCGUUGUCCGGAUUUAUUGGGCGUAAAGAGCGUGUAGGCGGCCAGGUAGGUCCGGUGUGAAAACUCGAGGCUUAACCUCGAGAUGUCAUCGGAAACCAUUUGGCUAGAGUCCGGAAGAGGAGAGUGGAAUUCCUGGUGUAGCGGUGAAAUGCGCAGAUAUCAGGAAGAACACCUAUGGCGAAAGCAGCUCUCUGGGACGGUACUGACGCUGAGACGCGAAAGCGUGGGGAGCGAACAGGAUUAGAUACCCUGGUAGUCCACGCCGUAAACGAUGGGUGCUAGGUGUGGGCGGUGUCGACUCCGUCCGUGCCGAAGCUAACGCAUUAAGCACCCCGCCUGGGGAGUACGGCCGCAAGGCUAAA
Molecule: ribosomal RNA, 373 nt
Filed under: uncultured bacterium
Lineage: Bacteria
Description: bacterial SSU rRNA
Rfam family: Bacterial small subunit ribosomal RNA
Source: RNAcentral